This 1009-nucleotide ribosomal RNA is filed under the name Aspergillus alliaceus. RNAcentral describes it as "SSU rRNA". It matches the Rfam family "Eukaryotic small subunit ribosomal RNA", at positions 79 to 1098 of the family's 1831-position model. The record is from RNAcentral. Lineage: Eukaryota; Fungi; Ascomycota; Eurotiomycetes; Eurotiales; Aspergillaceae.
CUGUGAACUGCGAAUGGCUCAUUAAAUCAGUUAUCGUUUAUUUGAUAGUACCUUACUACAUGGAUACCUGUGGUAAUUCUAGAGCUAAUACAUGCUAAAAACCCCGACUUCGGGAGGGGUGUAUUUAUUAGAUAAAAAACCAAUGCCCUUCGGGGCUCCUUGGUGAAUCAUAAUAACUUAACGAAUCGCAUGGCCUUGCGCCGGCGAUGGUUCAUUCAAAUUUCUGCCCUAUCAACUUUCGAUGGUAGGAUAGUGGCCUACCAUGGUGGCAACGGGUAACGGGGAAUUAGGGUUCGAUUCCGGAGAGGGAGCCUGAGAAACGGCUACCACAUCCAAGGAAGGCAGCAGGCGCGCAAAUUACCCAAUCCCGACACGGGGAGGUAGUGACAAUAAAUACUGAUACGGGGCUCUUUUGGGUCUCGUAAUUGGAAUGAGUACAAUUUAAAUCCCUUAACGAGGAACAAUUGGAGGGCAAGUCUGGUGCCAGCAGCCGCGGUAAUUCCAGCUCCAAUAGCGUAUAUUAAAGUUGUUGCAGUUAAAAAGCUCGUAGUUGAACCUUGGGUCUGGCUGGCCGGUCCGCCUCACCGCGAGUACUGGUCCGGCUGGACCUUUCCUUCUGGGGAACCUCAUGGCCUUCACUGGCUGUGGGGGGAACCAGGACUUUUACUGUGAAAAAAUUAGAGUGUUCAAAGCAGGCCUUUGCUCGAAUACAUUAGCAUGGAAUAAUAGAAUAGGACGUGCGGUUCUAUUUUGUUGGUUUCUAGGACCGCCGUAAUGAUUAAUAGGGAUAGUCGGGGGCGUCAGUAUUCAGCUGUCAGAGGUGAAAUUCUUGGAUUUGCUGAAGACUAACUACUGCGAAAGCAUUCGCCAAGGAUGUUUUCAUUAAUCAGGGAACGAAAGUUAGGGGAUCGAAGACGAUCAGAUACCGUCGUAGUCUUAACCAUAAACUAUGCCGACUAGGGAUCGGGCGGUGUUUCUAUGAUGACCCGCUCGGCACCUUACGAGAAAU